CCUACGGGAGGCAGCAGUGGGGAAUAUUGGACAAUGGGGGCAACCCUGACCCAGCCAUGCCGCGUGUGUGAAGAAGGCCCUCGGGUUGUAAAGCACUUUCAGUGAGGAAGAACGCCUGGUGGUUAAUACCCAUCAGGAAAGACAUCACUCACAGAAGAAGCACCGGCUAACUCCGUGCCAGCAGCCGCGGUAAUACGGAGGGUGCGAGCGUUAAUCGGAAUUACUGGGCGUAAAGCGCGCGUAGGUGGCUUGAUAAGCCGGUUGUGAAAGCCCCGGGCUCAACCUGGGAACGGCAUCCGGAACUGUCAAGCUAGAGUGCAGGAGAGGAAGGUAGAAUUCCCGGUGUAGCGGUGAAAUGCGUAGAGAUCGGGAGGAAUACCAGUGGCGAAGGCGGCCUUCUGGACUGACACUGACACUGAGGUGCGAAAGCGUGGGUAGCAAACAGGAUUAGAUACCCCAGUAGUC
RNAcentral lists this ribosomal RNA (465 nucleotides) under Vreelandella stevensii. RNAcentral describes it as "partial 16S ribosomal RNA". It matches the Rfam family "Bacterial small subunit ribosomal RNA", at positions 338 to 795 of the family's 1533-position model. The record is from RNAcentral. Lineage: Bacteria; Pseudomonadati; Pseudomonadota; Gammaproteobacteria; Oceanospirillales; Halomonadaceae.